Camellia sinensis is the source of this 374-nucleotide non-coding RNA. Lineage: Eukaryota; Viridiplantae; Streptophyta; Magnoliopsida; Ericales; Theaceae. The record is from RefSeq and is a predicted model, not a curated record.
UGCAAGCAUUCGGUGGGAAAAAAAAAGAAGAAGAAGAGAGAAAUCCCCAAAGCAACCAAGCUUAGUGAUAGGAGAGGAAGAAGAGUAGGAGAUUAAGGAAGCCAAAAUUCUCAACCAUUUUGUCACCUUAUUACUAGAUUAUGUUGAAGAAGGGACUGAGGCUGAAAUUGGAGCUGCUGCCAAUAUCGAACCUUGGCUGACUUAGAGUCAAGAUUUUGUCAGAAUAAAAUCCUGUUAUCCCUUGUAUUAGGAUUAAACUAUGUUGUGACAUUGUGUGUGAACUCGUAGUUUUAUUUUGUCGUUGGACUUUGGCUUUGUAAGAACUUAAAAGUUCCUAACUAGUAGUUAAAAUUUUAUCUAGCAAGUUAUUGUUA